Molecule: ribosomal RNA, 495 nt
Filed under: uncultured bacterium
Lineage: Bacteria
Description: partial 16S ribosomal RNA
Rfam family: Bacterial small subunit ribosomal RNA
Source: RNAcentral
GACGAACGCUGGCGGCGUGCCUAAUACAUGCAAGUAGAACGCUGAAGGAGGAGCUUGCUUCUCUGGAUGAGUUGCGAACGGGUGAGUAACGCGUAGGUAACCUGCCUGGUAGCGGGGGAUAACUAUUGGAAACGAUAGCUAAUACCGCAUAAGAGUAGAUGUUGCAUGACAUUUGCUUAAAAGGUGCAAUUGCAUCACUACCAGAUGGACCUGCGUUGUAUUAGCUAGUUGGUGGGGUAACGGCUCACCAAGGCGACGAUACAUAGCCGACCGGAGAGGGGGGUCGGCCACACUGGGACGGAGACACGGCCCAGACGCCUACGGGAGGCAGCAGUAGGGAAUCUUCGGCAAUGGACGGAAGUCUGACCGAGCAACGCCGCGGGAGGGAAGAAGGGUUUCGGAUCGUAAAGCUCUGUUGUAAGAGAAGAACGAGUGUGAGAGUGGAAAGUUCACACUGUGACGGUAUCUUACCAGAAAGGGACGGCUAACUACGUG